AGUCCUGUGAGUUCAACACUUCAGGACUCAGAUCUGUCAGUCAACACAGUAGAAACCACAACCACCAUGACUCUCAUCACCAUCCUCAUCUGGACGCUGGCCUGCUGCUGCCUCAGAGCAUCCAGCAGUCAACUUACUGUGUCUCAGCCUGCUGUGGUAACAUCUUCCAUUGAACCUACAGUCACUCUGACGUGUCAAACCAACCCAAAGGUAAAGACAUGGUCAGAUGGAACCAAUAGAUUACAUUGGUAUCAGCAGAAAUCUGGACAAGCUCCCAAGCUGGUCAUGAAAAAUGGUAAAAAUCCUACAAGUGAGUUUUCUUCCAGAUUUUCUGGCAGAGCAGACGGAGAGAACUCUAAUUUGACCAUCAGUGGAGUUCAGACUGAAGAUGCAGCAAUUUAUUACUGUAAGAGAUAUGAUGAAAUAAACAGUGCUUGGGUGUUCACACAGUGAUUUGUCGUCGUACAAAAACCCCCCUCAGUCAGACUGCAGAGACACUGAGCUGUUACAGCAGGAACCGACUGCAGCUGCUGAAGAGGAAGAGACUCUGACACAGACCACUGAACACAGAGCUGACAGUAACCUCACCAAGCACAAACUACACAUUCACACUAAUAAAUAAAACAAUAAGUAAAAA
This is a long non-coding RNA of Dicentrarchus labrax (European seabass), 637 nucleotides long. RefSeq lists it as uncharacterized. The transcript has 2 exons. NCBI's taxonomy places the organism in Eukaryota, Metazoa, Chordata, Actinopteri, Moronidae. The record is from RefSeq and is a predicted model, not a curated record.